AAUUCUAUUGCCGAAUUGGUAAAGGCAUCGCCGAUCACAGGCGAGGGUGCGGGUUCGAGUCCCGCUGGAACGA
Molecule: transfer RNA, 73 nt
Filed under: Operophtera brumata (winter moth)
Lineage: Eukaryota; Metazoa; Arthropoda; Insecta; Lepidoptera; Geometridae
Rfam family: tRNA
About the family: Transfer RNA (tRNA) molecules are approximately 80 nucleotides in length.
Source: Rfam by way of RNAcentral